CAACCUCAACUCAUAUGGGACUACCCCCUGAAUUUAAGCAUAUUAAUUAGGGGAGGAAAAGAAACUAACAAGGAUUUUCUUAGUAGCGGCGAGCGAAAAGAAAUCAGUUCAGCACUAAGUCACUUUGUCUAUAUGGCAAAUGUGAGAUGCAGUGUACGGAACAUCAACAUUCUAGUAUGAGAAGUUAACGAUUUAAGUCCUUCUUAAAUGAGGCCAUUUACCCAUAGAGGGUGCCAGGCCCGUAUAACGUUAAUGAUUACUAGAUGGUGUUUCCAAAGAGUCGUGUUGCUUGAUAGUGCAGCACUAAGUGGGUGGUAAACUCCAUCUAAAACUAAAUAUAACCAUGAGACCGAUAGUAAACAAGUACCGUGAGGGAAAGUUGAAAAGAACUCUGAAUAGAGAGUUAAAUAGUACGUGAAACUGCUUAGAGGUUAAGCCCGAUGAACCUGAAUAUCCGUUAUGGAAAAUUCAUCAUUAGAAUUGUAAUAUUUUAAACAAUAUUAUAAUAAUAGUGUGCAUUUUUUCCAUAUAAGGACAUUGUAAUCUAUUAGCAUAAAUAUUUAUCAUAAAAUUAUGUCUGAUUGCUUAUUUGAAUUAUAUGCUUGGCAUUUUAACAUAAAAUAAAAGAUAUAAAUUUGAUAAAGUGCUGAUAGAUUUAUAUGAUUACAGUGCGUUAAUUUUUCGGAAUUAUAUAAUGGCAUAAUUAUCAUUGAUAUUUGUGUUUAUUAUAUGCAUUUGUAUGAUUAACAAUGCGAAAGAUUCAGGAUACCUUCGGGACCCGUCUUGAAAACACGGACCAAGGAGUCUAACAUAUGUGCAAGUUAUUGGGAUAUAAACCUAAUAGCGUAAUUAACUUGACUAUUAAUGGGAUUAGUUUUUUAACUAUUUAUAGUUAAUUAACGCAAUCCCGGGGCGCUCUAUAUAGUUAUGUAUAAUAAUAUUUAUAUUAUUUAUGCCUCUAACUGGAACGUACCCUUGAGCAUAUUAUGCUUGUGUCACCCGAAAGAUGGUGAACUAUACUUGAUCAGGUUGAAGUCAGGGGAAACCCUGAUGGAAGACCGAAACAGUUCUGACGUGCAAAUCGAUUGUCAGAAUUGAGUAUAGGGGCGAAAGACCAAUCGAACCAUCUAGUAGCUGGUUCCUUCCGAAGUUUCCCUCAGGAUAGCUGGUGCAUUUAACUGUUGUAUAAAAUAAUCUUAUCUGGUAAAGCGAAUGAUUAGAGGCCUUAGGGUCGAAACGAUCUUAACCUAUUCUCAAACUUUAAAUGGGUAAGAACCUUAACUUUCUUGAUAUGAAGUUUAAGGUUAUGAUAUAAUGUGCCCAGUGGGCCACUUUUGGUAAGCAGAACUGGCGCUGUGGGAUGAACCAAACGUAAUGUUACGGUGCCCAAAUUAACAACUCAUACAGAAACCAUGAAAGGCGUUGGUUGCUUAAAACAGCAGGACGGUGAUCAUGGAAUUCAAAAUCCGCUAACGAGUGUGUAACAACUCACCUGCCAAAACAACUAACCCUUAAAAUGGAUGGCGCUUAAAUUGUAUACCUAUACAUUACCGCUAAAGUAGAUGGUUUAUAUUACUUGUAAUAUAAAUUUUGAAACUUUAGUGAGUAUGAAGGUACAAUGGUGUGCAUACAAGUGUUUGGCGUAAACCUGCAUGGAGCCGCUAUUGGUACAGAUCUUGGUGGUAAUAUCCAUAAUCGAAUGAGACCUUGGAGGACUGAAGUGGAGAAGGUUUCGUGUGAACAGUGUUGAUCACGAGUUAGUCGGUCUUAAGUUCAAGGCGAAAGCCGAAAAUUUUCAAGUAAAGAAAAAUCUAAAUAUAUUUGUCAUCUAACCGAUUUUUAUACACUUGAAUAAUUUUGAACGAAAGGGAAUACGGUUCCAAUUCCGUAACCUGUUGAGUAUCCGUUUGUUAUUAAAUAUGGGCCUCGUGCUCAUCCUGGCAACAGGAACGACCAUAAAGAAGCCGUCGAGAGGUAUCGGAAGAGUUUUCUUUUCUGUUUUAUAGCCGUACUACCAUGGAAGUCUUUCGCAGAGAGAUAUGGUAGAUGGGCUAGAAGAGCAUGACAUAUACUGUUGUGUCGAUAUUUUCUCCUCGGACCUUGAAAAUUUAUGGUGGGGACACGCAAACUUCUCAACAGGCCGUACCAAUAUCCGCAGCUGGUCUCCAAGGUGAAGAGUCUCUAGUCGAUAGAAUAAUGUAGGUAAGGGAAGUCGGCAAAUUAGAUCCGUAACUUCGGGAUAAGGAUUGGCUCUGAAGAUUGAGAUAGUCGGGCUUGAUUGGGAAACAAUAACAUGGUUUAUGUGCUCGUUCUGGGUAAAUAAAGUUUCUAUCAUUUAUGGUAGUUUCUUGUUCCCCGGAUAGUUUAGUUACGUAGCCAAUUGUGGAACUUUCUUGCUAAAAUUUUUAAGAAUACUAGUUGGGCUACCAAUUAGUUCUUUUAAAUUAUAACGAUUAUCAAUUAACAAUCAAUUCAGAACUGGCACGGACUUGGGGAAUCCGACUGUCUAAUUAAAACAAAGCAUUGUGAUGGCCCUAGCGGGUGUUGACACAAUGUGAUUUCUGCCCAGUGUUUUGAAUUUCAAAGGGAGGAAAUUCAAGUAAGGGGGGGUCAACGGCGGGAGUAAAUUUGACUUUCUUAAGGUACCAAAUGCCUCGUCAUUUAAUUAGUGAGGGGCAGGAAUGGAUUAAGGAGAUUCCUACUGUCCCUAUCUACUCAGUUCGUUUCAGACAGUCGUUGGGAACAGACGUGUUUAUUUCAUCGCUCGCUUCGC
This is a non-coding RNA of Drosophila virilis, 2773 nucleotides long. The record is from Rfam. NCBI's taxonomy places the organism in Eukaryota, Metazoa, Arthropoda, Insecta, Diptera, Drosophilidae.